This 969-nucleotide long non-coding RNA is filed under the name Calidris pugnax (ruff). RNAcentral describes it as "lncRNA (ENSCPUG00000006491.1)". The record is from RNAcentral. Lineage: Eukaryota; Metazoa; Chordata; Aves; Charadriiformes; Scolopacidae.
GCAGGCGACCGUGGGGGCUGCCAAAAUGGAAAGACUGAGGUUUUUUAGGUUUUUUUUUUUAUUUAUUUUGGGUUGGGGGGGAAAUUUUAAUAUUCAUCCCCCCCACCUGGUGCUGAGUGCGGGUCCUGCCUCCGCCGCUGGAAGAGAAACCUCGGCAAACAAAGGAGAGGAUGCGGGAGACCCGCAGCGAAAAGAGCUUUAUUGGCGCGGCACGGCACGGCACGGCACGGCACGGCACGGCGGGCUCCUUGCGGCAUCCGCACCCGCUGGGCUAUGAGCCCAGGAAGGAAAGGGGGGGGUGGGGGGCUGCCCCCAAAUACCUGCAGCACCCCAGGGGGGGUCAGGGUGCAAAGAGUCGUCCCAGGGACCCCAAACUCCUGUUGAUGUUCUUCCUGUGGGUGCCGUCCCGGAGGUGAGGGUCUGCGCGCGGGGCUGCAAAGAGAGAUGGACCCCCCCUCACUGCCAUCAUCAAAGGCCCCCCCUGCCCCAUGGGGGAGGUUGUGGGGGGGGAUGACACCGUCCCUUCCAGUAAGGCCUGUCCUUGCCCAGUGCGAGGUACCUGCUGGGAGCACUGGGGCAGAGGGUCGGGGAUGGAGGGAUGCAGGGCGGGUUGGCCUCCAGCUGCAAAGGGAUGGGAGAAGGGAUGGGAGAAGGGAUGGGAGAAGGGAUGGGAGAAGGGAUGGGAGAAGGGAUGGGAGAAGGGAUGGGAGAAGGGAUGGGAGAAGGGAUGGGAGAAGAAGGGAUGGGAGAAGAAGGGAUGGGAGGUGAAGGGCAGGGAAAGGGGGUGAGGGGUGGCGAUGGGCUCCCAGGCACCCCUCUGGCUAAAGAGGUGAAGAAAAAAAUUGGAACAAAAAUCAAAAAGCGUGAAAAAGGAAGGGAAGAAAUAAAAAAGAGAGCUGGGUGGCAGCGGAGCAGGCAGCUCUGCGUUAGGCCGCGGGGUCGCAGCAUCCCUCUUUCCCCCCCCAACCC